Molecule: ribosomal RNA, 581 nt
Filed under: Vibrio sp. SDBC5
Lineage: Bacteria; Pseudomonadati; Pseudomonadota; Gammaproteobacteria; Vibrionales; Vibrionaceae
Description: bacterial SSU rRNA
Rfam family: Bacterial small subunit ribosomal RNA
Source: RNAcentral
AGUACUUUCAGCAGUGAGGAAGGUGGUGUACUUAAUACGUGCAUCAUUUGACGUUAGCUGCAGAAGAAGCACCGGCUAACUCCGUGCCAGCAGCCGCGGUAAUACGGAGGGUGCGAGCGUUAAUCGGAAUUACUGGGCGUAAAGCGCAUGCAGGUGGUUUGUUAAGUCAGAUGUGAAAGCCCGGGGCUCAACCUCGGAAUUGCAUUUGAAACUGACAGACUAGAGUACUGUAGAGGGGGGUAGAAUUUCAGGUGUAGCGGUGAAAUGCGUAGAGAUCUGAAGGAAUACCGGUGGCGAAGGCGGCCCCCUGGACAGAUACUGACACUCAGAUGCGAAAGCGUGGGGAGCAAACAGGAUUAGAUACCCUGGUAGUCCACGCCGUAAACGAUGUCUACUUGGAGGUUGUGGCCUUGAGCCGUGGCUUUCGGAGCUAACGCGUUAAGUAGACCGCCUGGGGAGUACGGUCGCAAGAUUAAAACUCAAAUGAAUUGACGGGGGCCCGCACAAGCGGUGGAGCAUGUGGUUUAAUUCGAUGCAACGCGAAGAACCUUACCUACUCUUGACAUCCAUAGAACUUUCCA